Molecule: transfer RNA, 75 nt
Filed under: candidate division Kazan bacterium
Lineage: Bacteria
Also listed under: 1 other name
Description: tRNA-Lys
Rfam family: tRNA
About the family: Transfer RNA (tRNA) molecules are approximately 80 nucleotides in length. Their secondary structure includes four short double-helical elements and three loops (D, anti-codon, and T loops).
Source: RNAcentral
GGGUGCAUAGCUCAGCGGUAGAGCAGUCGCCUCUUAAGCGAUUGGCCGCAGGUUCGAAUCCUGCUGCACCCACCA